Molecule: long non-coding RNA, 791 nt
Filed under: Selaginella moellendorffii
Lineage: Eukaryota; Viridiplantae; Streptophyta; Lycopodiopsida; Selaginellales; Selaginellaceae
Description: long non-coding RNA (SMOE_LNC000869)
Source: RNAcentral
AGAAGAUGGCGACGUUGUCUGGUCCUCCAACACCACAAACAAAGGCGUCCGGUGGCUUGCCAUAUCCGACAGCGCGACCAUAAUGCUCCUGGAUGAAAGUGAAAGCAAUGUCAUCUGGCAAAGUAGCGACGAACCUUCUGACACUGUGCUGUUGCAACGAGCGCUUAAGCCGGGAUAUAAGCUCGUAAGUUGGAAUACUUCAGAAGACAGCAGCGACGGCCUGUAUAGCCUUGUCAUGGAGAAGAACAGGCUCAAACUGUUGUACGACUCGCAACCAUACUGGAGCUUCGGUAAUAUUACCAGAGAGGAAGAUAUGUUUGCGGUCUUCUGCUGGCAGCCAAAUGGAGUCGUGUCCCUGGAUCUCCGAACUAAUUUCUCACAGAUAGCCGUUGCGGGCUUGGUACAGCCGGAGUCUUGUGCCAUACCUGGUUCUGAAGACCAAGCGAUGCAGCUGCCAAUAAACGGGUCACAGUUCACGUCCUCCACUUUCAUAAGGCUCACACCAGAUGGAGAUGUGGACCUGUACUCCUGGAAUUGGACGGGUAGCAACUGGGUGACUUAUCUCAGCUUUUCCAAUCACUUCAAGUGCUUCCUUCCAAGUGCAUGCGGGAAAUAUAGAACCUGUAAUCCAACAUUAGGUACAUGCGAAGAUACUUGUCCCGAGAGCUUUACCAAGAAAGAUGAAGAUUGCCAGCCAUCGUUUCCACUUCAGAUGUGUGAGGAGAUGGAGUAUCGAUUCGUUCGGAAGGAGGGAACUGAUUACUUCUCCACAAAUUAUACUGAUCCACUCA